AUAUAGCUCAGUGGUAGAGCACUUGGCUUUCAUGUGUGAAGCCUUGGGUUCAAUUCCCAGUAU
Molecule: transfer RNA, 63 nt
Filed under: Cricetulus griseus (Chinese hamster)
Lineage: Eukaryota; Metazoa; Chordata; Mammalia; Rodentia; Cricetidae
Rfam family: tRNA
About the family: Transfer RNA (tRNA) molecules are approximately 80 nucleotides in length. Their secondary structure includes four short double-helical elements and three loops (D, anti-codon, and T loops).
Source: Rfam by way of RNAcentral